GAUGAAGAACGUAGCGAAAUGCGAUAAGUAAUGUGAAUUGCAGAAUUCAGUGAAUCAUCGAAUCUUUGAACGCACAUUGCGCCCGUCAGUAUUCUGGCGGGCAUGCCUGUUCGAGCGUCAUUACGCCCCUCAAGUCCCCUGUGGACUUGGUGUUGGGGAUCGGCGAGGCUGGUUUUCCAGCACAGCCGUCCCUUAAAUUAAUUGGCGGUCUCGCCGUGGCCCUCCUCUGCGCAGUAGUAAAACACUCGCAACAGGAGCCCGGCGCGGUCCACUGCCGUAAAACCCCCCAACUUUUUAUAGUUGACCUCAAAUCGAGUAAGACUACCCGCUGAACUUAAGCAUAUCAAUAAGCGGAGGA
This 358-nucleotide unclassified non-coding RNA is filed under the name soil metagenome. RNAcentral describes it as "partial contains 5.8S ribosomal RNA, internal transcribed spacer 2, and large subunit ribosomal RNA". The stretch from base 1 to 120 matches the Rfam family "5.8S ribosomal RNA", at positions 35 to 154 of the family's 154-position model. The record is from RNAcentral.